GGAACAACACAGGGAAACUUGUGCUAAUACCGGAUAAGCCCUUACGGGGAAAGAUUUAUCGCCGAAAGAUCGGCCCGCGUCUGAUUAGCUAGUUGGUGAGGUAAUGGCUCACCAAGGCGACGAUCAGUAGCUGGUCUGAGAGGAUGAUCAGCCACAUUGGGACUGAGACACGGCCCAAACUCCUACGGGAGGCAGCAGUGGGGAAUAUUGGACAAUGGGGGCAACCCUGAUCCAGCCAUGCCGCGUGAGUGAUGAAGGCCCUAGGGUUGUAAAGCUCUUUUGUGCGGGAAGAUAAUGACGGUACCGCAAGAAUAAGCCCCGGCUAACUUCGUGCCAGCAGCCGCGGUAAUACGAAGGGGGCUAGCGUUGCUCGGAAUCACUGGGCGUAAAGGGUGCGUAGGCGGGUCUUUAAGUCAGGGGUGAAAUCCUGGAGCUCAACUCCAGAACUGCCUUUGAUACUGAAGAUCUUGAGUUCGGGAGAGGUGAGUGGAACUGCGAGUGUAGAGGUGAAAUUCGUAGAUAUUCGCAAGAACACCAGUGGCGAAGGCGGCUC
This 553-nucleotide ribosomal RNA is filed under the name Bradyrhizobium sp. RNAcentral's name for it is "bacterial SSU rRNA". It matches the Rfam family "Bacterial small subunit ribosomal RNA", at positions 140 to 727 of the family's 1533-position model. The record is from RNAcentral. Lineage: Bacteria; Pseudomonadati; Pseudomonadota; Alphaproteobacteria; Hyphomicrobiales; Nitrobacteraceae.